This 345-nucleotide unclassified non-coding RNA is filed under the name soil metagenome. Its description in RNAcentral is "partial contains 5.8S ribosomal RNA, internal transcribed spacer 2, and large subunit ribosomal RNA". The stretch from base 1 to 121 matches the Rfam family "5.8S ribosomal RNA", at positions 35 to 154 of the family's 154-position model. The record is from RNAcentral.
GAUGAAGAACGCAGCGAAAUGCGAUAAGUAAUGCGAAUUGCAGAAUUUCCGUGAGUCAUCGAAUCUUUGAACGCACAUUGCGCCCAUUGGCAUUCCGGUGGGCAUGCCUGUUCGAGCGUCAUUAUCCUCCCUCAAACCCCGGGUUUGGUGUUGGACCCAAGUUGUGUGAACAACUGGUCUCAAAGACAAUGACGGCGUCCGUGGGACCCUCGGUGCAACGAGCUUUUAGGAGCACGCAUCGAGUUGCAAGGACCUUCCGGGCCGGUCUCCUUUACCAUUUUACAAGGUUGACCUCGGAUCAGGUAGGAAUACCCGCUGAACUUAAGCAUAUCAAUAAGCGGAGGA